UGCUAUCAGCUGGGAGCAAUACAGACCCACGUGAAUUCCCAGCCAAUGACGGAACAGGGAGGAGACAUGACAAACAUAAACAAAACACACGUGUCCCAAUGUCACUACGGUCAACAGCGGAAAAGCAGGUGCUCGCGCAUUCACGCUUAGAGCACGCUGCUUCAAGGGGGAAUCGUGACAUUAUGUUAAUGGUAGCAGCUGAAUAAACACCAUUUUAGCUUAGUUAUAGCAUGAACAUUAUGGAAAGACAUGCUUACAACUCCAAAGAAAAUGUUCUACAUAUAGUAUCUUGUUAGUUGGUUAUAUAAGAUUCAUAAAGUAGGCUUUACAUAUCCUCGAUAACAUGAACAUUCUGCACAUUUUAAAUAUAUUCUCCUUUACUCAGAUAAACAAAUACAAGUGUCACAGCUGGACAUCACUCUAUUCAUGUUCUGUUAAACUUUGGAUAUCAGAGAAGACCCCAGUACAAAUAACACACACCAGGUUCUCUACAUCUCCACUGCUCCUGUUGGCAGCUGCUUCCUGUGUUUACUGUGUUCAACUGAUUCAACCUGAAACAACGAUUUUAUCCCCUGGUCAGUCAAUGACUCUGACCUGUAAAGUGUCUGGAUAUUCAGUAAGUGAUGGCAGCUACUGGACACACUGGAUACGACAACCUGCAGGAAAAGCUCUGGAGUAUAUCGGACAAAUAUCUGGUAGUGGUAUCACUUACUACAGUGAGAAACUGAAAAGCAGGUUUCAGGUUUCCAAAGACACGUCCAACAGCACAGUAACAUUAACAGGGCAGAACAUGCAGAUUGAAGACACAGCUGUGUAUUACUGCGCCCGUAAACCACAGUGAGACAGAUCAAGAACAUCCCUGUACAAAAACACCCAGUACAGAAAAGUGAUGUAUUAGCAAAAGCAAUACCAUAGCAAUACAAUGUUUCAUCUCUGUUUGAAAUUUUAUGUUUCUCAUAAGUGUAAGAAGACAUCAGCUAGCAAAUAGUCAGUUGAUUUGCUGAGUUUGUUAAAUUUUAACAUUUUAACAUAAAUUGGUUAGAAUUCAAAUUGACCAAGAACUGUGCAGUGCUCCAAUGAAAAACUUCAUGUUUUAUCUUUCUUUAUCUGAGUAUCAUAACUUUUGUGCAGUGAUGUACUGACCUAAAGAGAUGAAAAAUCAGAUUUUGGCUAAAUAGGGUUUUCUGUCUAACAUUUAGAAGCCUCAACAUUGAUACACUAUAAAUAUAUUUCACCAAAACAACAUGAAAUGAUUUACUUUCUAAUCUUGCCUAGGCUUUCUUCCUGCAGAGGCCAUGUUGGAUAAGGAACCAGUUUAACAACAGCAGUGAUUAAAACAGUCAGUUUGAUAAAAAAUAUCUAAAACUUUGUGAGCUAAGUGUGAGUUCCUCACACAUUUAAUGGUUACACUUUGAUCAAGUUUUAGGCUACUUUUGUAUCUUAUUGAAAGACAUAAGGUUAAUAAAUUCAGUUUAUAAACAGAUACCAUCAGUCAGAAUGUAUGUGAUGCUCCUGUACCACAGUCAGAAUGAAAUCUUUAACUGCAUUUUCUUCCCCUUUUCACAUUUAAACUAUAUGAAAAUUAACAGGACAAAAUCUAAAUUGGUGGAGAUUUCUGCAGAGAAAAUAUAUCACCUACAUGAUAUAAAAUAAAUGUAUUAAUAAAGAAUAAAAUAC
Ictalurus punctatus (channel catfish) is the source of this 1677-nucleotide non-coding RNA. NCBI's taxonomy places the organism in Eukaryota, Metazoa, Chordata, Actinopteri, Siluriformes, Ictaluridae. The record is from the annotation of a RefSeq genome assembly.